UUUACCGUAGGUGAACAUGMGGAAGGAUCAUUG
Molecule: ribosomal RNA, 33 nt
Filed under: Acer tschonoskii
Lineage: Eukaryota; Viridiplantae; Streptophyta; Magnoliopsida; Sapindales; Sapindaceae
Description: partial 18S rRNA
Source: RNAcentral